UGUGGGGGCGGGGCCGCGGCGACGCUGGGCGUGUGGGCGCAGAUGGCGGCGGCGCACGGCGCCUGAGCGGGCCGGGGCCAUGAGCGCCGCCCGGCCCCAGUUCAGCAUUGAUGAUGCCUUCGAGCUGUCCCUGGAGGACGCGGGCCCUGGGCCCGAGGCUAGCGGGGUCGCGCGCUUUGGGCCGCUGCACUUCGAGCGUCGGGCCCGGUUCGAGGUGGCUGACGAGGACAAGCAGUCCCGGCUGCGCUACCAGAACCUGGAGAACGAUGAGGAUGGAGCCCAGAUCUCUCCGGAGCCGGAUGGGGGAGUCAGCACCAGGGAUUCCGGCCGAACUUCCAUCCGCAGCUCCCAGUGGUCCUUUAGCACCAUCAGCAGCGGCACCCAGCGCUCCUACAACACCUGCUGCAGCUGGACCCAACACCCUUUGAUCCAGAAGAACCGUCGAGUGGUGCUGGCCUCCUUCCUGCUCCUGCUGCUGGGGCUGGUGCUGAUCCUGGUCGGCGUGGGACUGGAGGCGACCCCCUCUCCAGGUGAGCGACCCUCCCGCCCCCACAGGCAGAGGACACCCCUGUCUUGUGUCCACGGGUCCACGGCAAGCCCUCCCACCUCCCGGCAGUACACGGCCACUUUUCAGCUGGGAGAGAGGCUUGCCCGGGCAGUCAGCGGCAGCCCGGAAGGCCUCGCAGCCCCUGCCCCCUUGCCCUGACCGGGCUGUGGUCCCUCCCGCAGGUGUCUCCAGCGCCAUCUUCUUCGUGCCGGGCUUCCUGUUGUUGGUGCCUGGAGUCUAUCACGUGAUCUUCAUCUACUGCGCGGUCAAGGGCCACCGGGGCUUCCAGUUCUUCUACCUGCCCUACUUCGAGAAGUGACCGCGGCGCAGCGUGGACUCCUUGCAUCCACGUGGGCGUCUCUCUGACCCACGCCCUGUUCCGUUCCCCUCAUCUCAAGGGAAGAGGCCCUCCAGGGCCCUCGAAACCCCAGCCCCUAGGGAGUUUGCUCAGGAAGUUUGGGGAAUGCAGGCCUGGCCCUGGGAAAGCCGCCCCUCGCCUGCUCUGUGCCUUAACUUAUUCUCGGGCCAUGCGGCUGCUAGGUUGCUAUUAUUUUGUGCUAAUAAAAGAGUAGUUAAUUCCACC
RNA transcript from Cercocebus atys (sooty mangabey), 1130 nucleotides. It is a transcript of the gene named transmembrane protein 134, with no coding region annotated. The record is from RefSeq and is a predicted model, not a curated record. NCBI's taxonomy places the organism in Eukaryota, Metazoa, Chordata, Mammalia, Primates, Cercopithecidae. The transcript is spliced from 6 exons.